Molecule: ribosomal RNA, 454 nt
Filed under: uncultured bacterium
Lineage: Bacteria
Description: bacterial SSU rRNA
Rfam family: Bacterial small subunit ribosomal RNA
Source: RNAcentral
UACGGAAGGCAGCAGUGGGGAAUAUUGCACAAUGGGCGAAAGCCUGAUGCAGCUAUGCCGCGUGUAUGAAGAAGGCCUUAGGGUUGUAAAGUACUUUCAUCGGGGAGGAAAAACAAAACUAAUAAUUUUAUUUCUUGACGUUACCCGAAAAAGAAGCACCGGCUAACUCCGUGCCAGCAGCCGCGGUAAUACGGAGGGUGCUAGCGUUAAUCAGAAUUACUGGGCGUAAAGAGCACGUAGGUGGUUUUUUUAAGUCAGAUGUGAAAUCCCUGGGCUUAACCUGGAACUGCAUUUUGAAGCUGAAAUACUAGAGUAUCGUAGAGGGAGGUAGAAUUCUAGGUGUAGCGGUGAAAUGCGUAGAUAUCUGGAGGAAUACCUGUGGCGAAAGCGGCCUCCUAAACGAAUACUGACACUGAGGUGCGAAAGCGUGGGGAGCAAACAGGGAUUAGAUACC